Molecule: long non-coding RNA, 835 nt
Organism: Juglans regia (Persian walnut)
Lineage: Eukaryota; Viridiplantae; Streptophyta; Magnoliopsida; Fagales; Juglandaceae
Exons: 4
Source: RefSeq, a predicted model, not a curated record
UUCUCUGGACAGUGGUGCGACGCAAGAGAGAGAGAGUUAGAGAUUUAGACCGAAACAGGAAUUUAUGGGGAGAGAGGGAUCCCGUCGGGGGCUUACCGAAAGGAGUGGGUUCGAAGGGGUUGGGCUGGUCGGAGAUUUCUGUGGCCGAGGAGAGGUGGUCCGACUUCCUUGAGGUGGCUGGCGACGGCAGCACAAAUACACGGCUAAAAGCCACUACCGAUAAAGAUGGAGAGAGAAAACCACGGGGGAAGAGAAGGGGUUUACCGUCGGCGUGGUGGUGCUCCGAUGUCCUCUGUGGAGGAUUCCGGCGAGGAAUUCAACGAUCUCUGUGGCUGAGAAUCACAAAGAAGAAAAGUACCAGAUAGAUCUGAUGGCUCCUCCUCCUACCCUAAGAUCAUUACCAGAAAGAGAUGGAAAUUAAGCCGAAGGAAGAUGAAAAGGAAGUUAAAAUAGGCAAGGUAAAGGCAGUGAAUGUUGGAAACAAGAGGACAAAAACUGUGGCAAUUGAAGAAACCGAGUCUCAGAAGCUGGUUCUUGCGCACAAGGAGAGGAAAUGCAAGGUUCAAUUGUGGAGUCUCUGAUCGGGUGUAUGCAAAUGCAGAAUAAACACAAUAAACAGCUUAUGCGGCGCAAGGCUAUUGGAGGGCUGUUUAAUGAGGGGGAGCAGCCGGACCUCUCCCCAGGUUUACUCUUUUUUUUUUUCUCUUCUAAACGCACGAGGUAAUUCAACAUUGACACUUUUAUCUUCUUAUAUCUAUAGUUGCGUCCCUGACCAUCAUAUAAUAAAAACUUCUAACCUGAUUAAGUUGGAGUUGAAAUAUAAUUGGUUGGACCA